RNAcentral lists this ribosomal RNA (841 nucleotides) under uncultured marine bacterium. Its description in RNAcentral is "bacterial SSU rRNA". It matches the Rfam family "Bacterial small subunit ribosomal RNA", at positions 60 to 949 of the family's 1533-position model. The record is from RNAcentral.
AGUCGAACGCAGUAGCAAUACUGAGUGGCAAACGGGUGAGUAUAAUGUGGGAAUCUGCCUUUUGGUUUGGAAUAACACGGGGAAACUUGUGCUAAUACCGAAUAAGCCCUUACGGGGAAAGUUUUAACGCCGAAAGAUGAGCCUGCACUUGAUUAGCUAGUUGGUAAGGUAAAGGCUUACCAAGGCAACGAUCAAUAGCUGUUCUUAGAGGAAGACCAGCCACAUUGGGACUGAGACACGGCCCAGACUCCUACGGGAGGCAGCAGUGGGGAAUCUUGCACAAUGGGGGAAACCCUGAUGCAGCGAUGCCGCGUGAGUGAAGAAGGCCUUUGGGUUGUAAAACUCUUUCGUCGGGGAAGAAAAUGACUGUACCCGAAUAAGAAGGUCCGGCUAACUUCGUGCCAGCAGCCGCGGUAAUACGAAGGGACCUAGCGUAGUUCGGAAUUACUGGGCUUAAAGAGCUCGUAGGUGGUUAAAAAAGUUGAUGGUGAAAUCCCAAGGCUCAACCUUGGAACUGCCAUCAAAACUUUUUAGCUAGAGUGUGAUAGAGGUAAGUGGAAUUUCUAGUGUAGAGGUGAAAUUCGUAGAUAUUAGAAAGAACACCAAAUGCGAAGGCAACUUACUGGGUCACUACUGACACUGAGGAGCGAAAGCAUGGGUAGCGAAGAGGAUUAGAUACCCUCGUAGUCCAUGCCGUAAACGAUGUGUGCUAGACGUUGGAAAUAUAUUUUUCAGUGUCGCAGCGAAAGCAUUAAGCACACCGCCUGGGGAGUACGACCGCAAGGUUAAAACUCAAAUGAAUUGACGGGGACCCGCACAAGCAGUGGAGCAUGUGGUUUAA